CCUACGGGAGGCUGCAGUAGGGAAUUUUCGUCAAUGGGCGCAAGCCUGAACGAGCAAUGCCGCGUGAACGAGGAAGGUCUUCGGAUUGUAAAGUUCUGUUGAAGGGGAAAAAGAGCGGAGAGAGGAAAUGGUCUCCGAUUGAUAUUACCCUUCGAGGAAGUCACGGCUAACUACGUGCCAGCAGCCGCGGUAAUACGUAGGUGGCGAGCGUUAUCCGGAGUGAUUGGGCGUAAAGGGGGCGUAGGCGACCUGCUAAGUCUGGAGUGAAAGGUACCGGCUCAACCGGUACAGGCGCUGGAAACUGGCGGGCUAGAGAGCAGGAGAGGGCGGUGGAACGCCAUGUGUAGCGGUAAAAUGCGUAGAUAUAUGGAAGAACACCAGUGGCGAAGGCGGCCGCCUGGCCUGUUACUGACGCUGAGGCACGAAAGCGUGGGGAGCAAAUAGGAUUAGAUACCCCUGUAGUC
This 464-nucleotide ribosomal RNA is filed under the name uncultured bacterium. RNAcentral describes it as "partial 16S ribosomal RNA". It matches the Rfam family "Bacterial small subunit ribosomal RNA", at positions 338 to 795 of the family's 1533-position model. The record is from RNAcentral.